AGAGUUUGAUCAUGGCUCAGAGCGAACGCUGGCGGCAUGCUUAACACAUGCAAGUCGCACGGGGGGGCAACCUUCAGUGGCGGACGGGUGAGUAACGCGUAGGUAUCUGUCCAUGGGUGGGGGAUAACAGCGGGAAACUGCUGCUAAUACCGCAUGACACCUGAGGGUCAAAGGCGCGAGUCGCCUGUGGAGGAGCCUGCGUCCGAUUAGCUUGUUGGUGGGGUAAUGGCCUACCAAGGCGAUGAUCGGUAGCUGGUCUGAGAGGAUGAUCAGCCACACUGGGACGGAGACACGGCCCAGACUCCUACGGGAGGCAGCAGUGGGGAAUAUUGGAUAAUGGGCGCAAGCCUGAUCCAGCAAUGCCGCGUGGAUGAAGAAGGUCUUCGGAUUGUAAAGUCCUUUCGGCGGGGACGAUGAUGACGGUACCCGCAGAAGAAGCCCCGGCUAACUUCGUGCCAGCAGCCGCGGUAAUAC
RNAcentral lists this ribosomal RNA (474 nucleotides) under uncultured bacterium. RNAcentral's name for it is "bacterial SSU rRNA". It matches the Rfam family "Bacterial small subunit ribosomal RNA", at positions 8 to 526 of the family's 1533-position model. The record is from RNAcentral.